UGUAAGACAUACCAGAGCAUCCACCUUGUUUAACCCCAAUUCUUAAGCACAGAUCUUCAUUUCUCUCAUUUUUUAUCCUAUUCAAAUGCUUCAACGCAUUCUCCGUCACCGAUAUAGCCGGCGCCACCCCCUCCAACGGCGGCGAAGCUGUAAUUAUGAGCCAUAACAACAAGGACCACAGAGUCACAUACUAUAAUAAUUAACAAGAGAGUUGAGUUGAAAUGAAAUGAAUUACCUAGGGAUGAAGUUGAUCGAAGAGAAAGAGAAGGGUUUCGACGGCUGAGAUUCGAUGUGGAGAAUCGGAAAGAGAGAGAAUUUGGAGGAGAAGAGAAAGAGAGAGUUUUUUUAUUAGUGUAAUCUGGUAAUCGGAGAAGAGGAGGAGAGUACGGUGGUGCUGUUGUUGAAGAGAA
This 410-nucleotide long non-coding RNA is filed under the name Populus trichocarpa (black cottonwood). RNAcentral describes it as "long non-coding RNA (PTRI_LNC001994)". Lineage: Eukaryota; Viridiplantae; Streptophyta; Magnoliopsida; Malpighiales; Salicaceae. The record is from RNAcentral.